AUUCGACCUCAAAUCAGGUAGGACUACCCGCUGAACUUAAGCAUAUCAAUAAGCGGGAGG
RNAcentral lists this ribosomal RNA (60 nucleotides) under Lodderomyces parapsilosis. Its description in RNAcentral is "Candida parapsilosis partial 28S ribosomal RNA". Lineage: Eukaryota; Fungi; Ascomycota; Pichiomycetes; Serinales; Debaryomycetaceae. The record is from RNAcentral.